This 395-nucleotide ribosomal RNA is filed under the name Salmonella enterica subsp. enterica serovar Typhimurium. RNAcentral's name for it is "bacterial SSU rRNA". It matches the Rfam family "Bacterial small subunit ribosomal RNA", at positions 580 to 974 of the family's 1533-position model. RNAcentral also lists the same sequence under 1 other name. Lineage: Bacteria; Pseudomonadati; Pseudomonadota; Gammaproteobacteria; Enterobacterales; Enterobacteriaceae. The record is from RNAcentral.
CUGUCAAGUCGGAUGUGAAAUCCCCGGGCUCAACCUGGGAACUGCAUUCGAAACUGGCAGGCUUGAGUCUUGUAGAGGGGGGUAGAAUUCCAGGUGUAGCGGUGAAAUGCGUAGAGAUCUGGAGGAAUACCGGUGGCGAAGGCGGCCCCCUGGACAAAGACUGACGCUCAGGUGCGAAAGCGUGGGGAGCAAACAGGAUUAGAUACCCUGGUAGUCCACGCCGUAAACGAUGUCUACUUGGAGGUUGUGCCCUUGAGGCGUGGCUUCCGGAGCUAACGCGUUAAGUAGACCGCCUGGGGAGUACGGCCGCAAGGUUAAAACUCAAAUGAAUUGACGGGGGCCCGCACAAGCGGUGGAGCAUGUGGUUUAAUUCGAUGCAACGCGAAGAACCUUAC